CGGAUUCUGGCUCAGGAUGAACGCUAGCUACAGGCUUAACACAUGCAAGUCGAGGGGCAGCAUUGGGAUAGCUUGCUAUUCAGAUGGCGACCGGCGCACGGGUGAGUAACGCGUAUCCAACCUUCCUGCCAGUAGGGAACAGCCCGGCGAAAGUCGGAUUAAUGCCCUAUGUUCUUCAAUGCGGACAUCUAAGUUGAAGGAAAGAUUCAUCGCUGGCAGAUGGGGAUGCGUCCGAUUAGCUUGCCGGCGGGUAACGGCCCACCGGGGCGACGAUCGGUAGGGGUUCUGAGAGGAAGGUCCCCCACACUGGUACUGAGACACGGACCAGACUCCUACGGGAGGCAGCAGUGAGGAAUAUUGGUCAAUGGGCGUAAGCCUGAACCAGCCAAGUAGCGUGCAGGAAUGACGGCCCUACGGGUUGUAAACUGCUUUUAUGCGGGGAUAAAGUGCGGCACGUGUGCCGCUUUGCAGGUACCGCAUGAAUAAGGACCGGCUAAUUCCGUGCCAGCAGCCGC
RNAcentral lists this ribosomal RNA (515 nucleotides) under uncultured bacterium. RNAcentral describes it as "bacterial SSU rRNA". It matches the Rfam family "Bacterial small subunit ribosomal RNA", at positions 13 to 518 of the family's 1533-position model. The record is from RNAcentral.